CAUCUUUUAUUUUUAAGACCUUUCGGAAGGUAUGCUUAAAGAGGGGCUUGCGUCACAUUAGUUAGUUGGCAGGGUAAAGGCCUACCAAGACUAUGAUGUGUAGCUGGACUGAGAGGUUGAACAGCCACAUUGGGACUGAGACACGGCCCAAACUCCUACGGGAGGCAGCAGUAGGGAAUUUUCGGCAAUGGAGGAAACUCUGACCGAGCAACGCCGCGUGAACGAUGAAGUAUUUCGGUAUGUAAAGUUCUUUUAUUGAAGAAGAAAAAAUAGUGGAAAAACUAUCUUGACGAUAUUCAAUGAAUAAGCCCCGGCAAACUAUGUGCCAGCAGCCGCGGUAAUACAUAGGGGGCGAGCGUUAUCCGGAAUUAUUGGGCGUAAAGGGUGCGUAGGCGGUUUAAUAAGUCUAUAGUUUAAUUUCAGUGCUUAACACUGUCCUGCUAUAGAAACUAUUAGACUAGAGUGAGAUAGAGGCAAGUGGAAUUCCAUGUGUAGCGGUAAAAUGCGUAAAUAUAUGGAGGAACACCAGAGGCGUAGGCGGCUUGCUGGGUCUUUACUGACGCUGAGGCACGAAAGCGUGGGGAGCAAACAGGAUUAGAUACCCUGGUAGUCCACGCCGUAAACGAUGAGUACUAAGUGUCGGGAUUACUCGGUACUGAAGUUAACACAUUAAGUACUCCGCCUGAGUAGUACGUACGCAAGUAUGAAACUUAAAGGAAUUGACGGGACUCCGCACAAGCGGGGGAUCAUGUUGUUUAAUUCGAAGAUACACCAAAAACCUUACCAGGUCUUGACAUACUCUGCAAAGCUAUAGCAAUAUAGUGGAGGUUAUCAGAGAUACAGGUGGUGCAUGGUUGUCGUCAGCUCGUGUCGUGAGAUGUUAGGUUAAGUCCUAAAACGAGCGCAACCCUUGUCAUUAGUUGCCAGCAUGUCAUGAUGGGCACUUUAAUGAGACUGCCAAUGAAAAAUUGGAGGAAGGUGAGGAUCACGUCAAAUCAUCAUGCCCCUUAUGAUCUGGGCUACAAACGUGAUACAAUGGCUGUUACAAAGAGUAGCUGAAACGCAAGUUUAUAGCCAAUCUCAUAAAAGCAGUCUCAGUUCGGAUUGAAGUCUGAACUCGACUUCAUGAAGUUGGAAUCGCUAGUAAUCGCGAAUCAGCAUCGCGAACCCACACAAA
This 1177-nucleotide ribosomal RNA is filed under the name Sugarcane phytoplasma (uncharacterized). RNAcentral's name for it is "bacterial SSU rRNA". It matches the Rfam family "Bacterial small subunit ribosomal RNA", at positions 189 to 1369 of the family's 1533-position model. The record is from RNAcentral. Lineage: Bacteria; Bacillati; Mycoplasmatota; Mollicutes; Acholeplasmatales; Acholeplasmataceae.